Molecule: long non-coding RNA, 254 nt
Organism: Thalassophryne amazonica
Lineage: Eukaryota; Metazoa; Chordata; Actinopteri; Batrachoidiformes; Batrachoididae
Exons: 3
Source: RefSeq, a predicted model, not a curated record
UUGAAAUCCACACAGUUGAAAUCCAAUGUUGAUUUCCACACAGUGGAUGCUGAUCCUAACAGCAAACUAACCUGAGUAGUCUGUCUAGUUAGUCUGUUUUAAGGCUCUAUAAUGUGUCACUUGUAUAACAUAUAAAAUGUGUCUAAAGCGCCCUCUACAGUGGUGAGGACGCGUUGUAUGUGCCCUUUUUUUUUUCUUUCCGCCCAUGCCCUUCAAAAAGUCUGUGCAUGGCACUGGUUCUCACACAAUGAAAU